Ipomoea nil (Japanese morning glory) is the source of this 182-nucleotide long non-coding RNA. RefSeq lists it as uncharacterized. The transcript is spliced from 3 exons. The record is from RefSeq and is a predicted model, not a curated record. Lineage: Eukaryota; Viridiplantae; Streptophyta; Magnoliopsida; Solanales; Convolvulaceae.
GCAUUUGGCAGACUUAUUUUCCAGGUUUAUGCUUCCUUAUCAUGUUGACCCAAGUAGUUCCCUGCUCUUCUUGGUUUGCUUAGUGCUCAGUACUGAAUGUAGUCUUGAUUGAUUUUGUGGUUCUUACAAUAAUUUGGUAGUAUUUACAGGGGUGUUUGGUAAAUAGUUGUUAGUUGAUUGAG